RNAcentral lists this ribosomal RNA (480 nucleotides) under uncultured Flavobacteriaceae bacterium. Its description in RNAcentral is "bacterial SSU rRNA". It matches the Rfam family "Bacterial small subunit ribosomal RNA", at positions 28 to 505 of the family's 1533-position model. Lineage: Bacteria; Pseudomonadati; Bacteroidota; Flavobacteriia; Flavobacteriales; Flavobacteriaceae. The record is from RNAcentral.
GAUGAACGCUAGCGGCAGGCCUAACACAUGCAAGUCGAGGGGUAACGUGAGUGCUUGCACUUGACGACGACCGGCGCACGGGUGCGUAACGCGUAUACAAUCUGCCUUAUACUGGGGGAUAGCCUUUGGAAACGAAGAUUAAUACCCCAUAGUCUAUGAACGUGGCAUCGCGAUCAUAGUAAAGGUUACGGUAUAAGAUGAGUAUGCGUCCUAUUAGUUAGUUGGUAAGGUAACGGCUUACCAAGACGACGAUAGGUAGGGGCCCUGAGAGGGGGAUCCCCCACACUGGUACUGAGACACGGACCAGACUCCUACGGGAGGCAGCAGUGAGGAAUAUUGGACAAUGGGGGCAACCCUGAUCCAGCCAUGCCGCGUGCAGGAAGACGGCCCUAUGGGUUGUAAACUGCUUUUAUACAGGAAGAAACAGCUCUACGUGUAGAGCCUUGACGGUACUGUAAGAAUAAGGACCGGCUAACUCCG